RNAcentral lists this long non-coding RNA (3249 nucleotides) under Xyrichtys novacula (pearly razorfish). The record is from RNAcentral. Lineage: Eukaryota; Metazoa; Chordata; Actinopteri; Labriformes; Labridae.
CCAAAUCAGUGAUUCAGCUGCUCCAGCUCCUGAAAGACCAAGUUCAAAAGAGCAAGGUUUUGAUUUCAAAGGAACCUCCACAUCUAUGUAAGCUAUUUUAGAUAUCACUGCAGUAACACAGUUUGUUGACAAACUUCUCAGCGAGGGUUAAAAAGACGACCAUGUGAUCAUGAAAUAAAGUCAUGUUAAGGAAUUGUCAUGCUGCUCCAGAGAGUCCAGAUCUCUAGUUUUUUUUUUCUGUUAACCCUGGUCCACCACCUCUUGUCACCUUCAGCCUCCAUGAAAGUUUAGUUUCAUCUUUAAAGUGUUUAGAGCUUUGAACCCUGUUACAAUGAUCUGUUCUCUAAUUGGGUACAAAUCCAGUGUAAUUCAAGGACAAAGCCUUUUCUCCUGGUAUGUUUGAAUAACUUUUAAAUGUGCGACACUGCAGAUUUUAGAUCCAGUGUAAGAUUUCAAACCAUCUUUGUGUUUGCUCUUGAUAUUUAACCCCUCACUGAAGAAGAAUCACCAUAACAGUGUAUCUCUUAUUACAGGGAUGACAAGACUUUCCUCAAGCUGUGGCCUUAUAUAAAAUCUGAAGAGGAAUCGCACUACUCCUCAGCCUACAGGUGGGUGAAAUGUUUUUACAAUAGAAUUUUUUUCCCAGACUCUUUUUUGUAUUUUUUGAUUUCAUGGAUCACAAAUCACAGGUGCAGGUUUUGAUAAUUCCUUGGAUUAGCCCCAAGUGUCAAUCAUAGAGAACAUAAGCCCUGUGUAACAUGGUUGAAUCCUGGAAUGCCCGCCUCCUGGCUGCUGGUGUUGAUGUAAUUGUGUCCUCGGAGAUAGCUGGUCAUUUUGCCACCACCAAGAAGAAAAUCUUCCUUUUUACAUUAAGAGGGGCAAAUGCUCUGAACUGGUUGAUGUUACAGAAUCCUGUAAUCCUGGUUUAGGUCUAUUGGUCUCAUCAGCUUCCACUGGAGUUUUAGCACCAUUGGGCAUCUCUUGUAUGCCCUGUAGGGCACACAAUUUGGACCUAGAGCUGAGGCAGAUUGUUGCUUUGUCUACCACCUGCCUGAUCUUAGCCCACUAAGUGGUGCGGUGUGAGACUGAGAUUCAGGCUCAGUGGGGUGAGGCACAUAUCCUGGCAAACCAAGUGAGAUGUUCUUCUCAUGGUCACCUAGCUGGUUCCUCAAGCUUCUGUACAGUGACUUCUAGCUUGACCCUUUUCUUCCCCUGUAGUAGGCUCUUGGCAAACUGAGCCGGUCCCAGAAAAACCUUGCUCUCUCUUUCCCUUUCUUUUUUUUUCUGUCUCUGGAUCCGCUCAGCCCUCUUUAAGGUUGAAAGCCUGUCUCUGGUCUGUACCGAGAUUUUUGUGUUUGCUCUUGAUUUUUAACCCCUCACUGAAGAAGAAGCACCAAAACAGUGUAUCUCUUAUUACAGGGACGACAAGACUGACCUCCGGCUGAGGCCUCCUGUAAAAUCUGAAGAGGAAUCGCACUACUCCUCAGCCUACAGGUGGGUGAAGUGUUUUCACAGUAUAAAUUCUCUUCAAGACAGUUUUGAAGUAGUUUUUGAACACUGUUAAUACAUGGAUCACAAAUCACAGAAGCAGAAUGCUUUGAUUAGCCCCCUCUCUGUAAAACCUGAUCUAAAACAUGGAUGUAUCUCUGCAGUCGGGUUUGUAUCAAGGCUAUCAGCUUUAGCAUUUUAAUAGUUUUGUAGCUAAAGUCAAAAUCUAAUGAAUGAACUCUUCACAGCAGUCUCCUCCCCCUGAGUCAUGCUGUCAGACCUCAUUGGUGCAGCAGUUCGACAUGUAUUUGAAUAUUAAAUGUAAAAGUCAAGAUCAUACAGUACAGCUAAUUGCAUUUAUUUAAAGGACCUGGUGAGAAUUGCUUCACAUAUGUAAUACAAAUGUAAACACUGUUUGAAAUGCAAAAUAACAGAGCUGUAGACAUGGAAUAAAAAUUAAGAUUAAGCACAAGCAAACAUUAAAACUCUGCUUUUAAUGACAAUCUGAAUUUGAUUUUUUUUCUGUAUUUAUUCCUUUGUCAGGCCCCACUCAAUGUCCUUUCCUCUGAAGACAGAAAACACAGAUACAACUGAUGGGGACAGAGACGUUAUUCUCAUCAGGCAGUUCGUAAAACGUGUUUACUUCAUCUGUAUAUUUUUGGAUUUUAAAGCUGUUUACGUCAUUAACUGUUAAAAUAAUUUUGUCAAAGUGUGACCCUUCUUUCUUCAAAUGAAAAGAUUUAAAUUUUUCUAACUUUACCUUUUAAACAAACACUUUUUUUUUCAAUUCAACAGAGUAUCAAUGGCAUCUGUUGCUUCAUUAGACCUACUUUUUUACAUAACAGUGUAUCUCUUAUUACAGGGACGACAAGACUGACCCCCGACUGAGGCCUUCUGUAAAAUCUGAAGAGGAAUCGCACUACUCCUCAGCCUACAGGUGAGUGAAAUGUUUUUACAGUAUAAAUUCUCUUUCAGACAGUCAGACCUCAUUGGUGCAGCAAUGCGACAUUUAUUUGAAUAUUAAAUCUAAAAGUCAAGAUCAUACAGUACAGCUGAUUGCAAUUAUUUAAAGGACCUGCUAAGAACUGCUUCACAUAUGUAAUACAAAUGUAAACACUGUUUGAAAUGCAAAAUAACAGACAUGGAAUAAAAAAAUAUGACCAAUCACAAUUAACCAUCAAAACUCUGAUAACUGCAAUUUAAUUAGUUUUUUUUAUAUUCAUUCCUUUGUCAGGCACCACCCAAUGUCCUUUCCUCUGAAGGUGGAGAGACAGGAAGGUUCUCAUCAUCAGACGGUUAGUAAAACAUGUUUACAUCAUCUGUAUAUUUUUGGACGCUGAAGCUGUUUACGUCAUUGACUGUUGAAAUAGUUUUUCUUCAAAUAAAAAAGCUUUAAACCUCUAACCUCUAAAUUCACCUGAGUAUCAACAACAUCUGAUGCUACAUGACACUCACUUUUUACAUAUUUUAAAAUGUCUGUUUUUACACUAAUAAAGUAAAACCGUUUGUCCCUUUUUUCUUAAUGCAGGGACGAUAAAGGGGUAAGGAAGGAGGGAAAAGCUGUGGUAGAUCACUGGGGUUUAAUUCUGCCCCUGGAAGUCACAUCUGUUUUAAGAAGGUUUUAAGAAUGUUUUUCCGUUUUUCCGUUUAAACCUGAGUAAAAUGUCAAUCUUUUAAUGGUUUCUGAGGAAGAAAAGUGUUGCUGUUUAGUCUCAUCAUUUCACUCACUGAUAUAUUCAUCUGCCAAACCUACCAUAGAAG